GAUGAACGCUGGCGGCGUGCCUAAUACAUGCAAGUCGAACGAACAGACGAGGAUCUUGUGCCUCUGACGUUAGCGGCGGGCGGGAGAGUAACACGUGGAUAACCUCCCUAUCUGACUGGGAUAACUUCGAGACAGCGGAGCUAAUACCAGAUAAUCUAUUGCACCGCAGGGGGCGAUAGUGAAUGACGGUUUUGCUGUCACGUCUAGAGGCUUCCGCGCCGCAUUAGCUAGUUGGGACGGUAACGGCUUACCAAGGCAACGAUGCGUAGCCGACCGGCGAGGGUGAUCGGCCGCACGGGAACGUGGACGCGCACCAGACGCCUAAGGGAGGCAGCAGUCGGGAACCUGCGGCAGUGGGCGAAAGCCUGACGGAGCAACGGGGCGUGAGUUGUGGAGGUCUUGGGAUCGGAAAACUGUGUUACUAGGGGAGAACAACUGUGUAAGUAACUAAGGACGUCUUGACGGUACCUGAUAAAAAAGCCACGGCUAACUACGUG
Molecule: ribosomal RNA, 497 nt
Filed under: uncultured bacterium
Lineage: Bacteria
Description: partial 16S ribosomal RNA
Rfam family: Bacterial small subunit ribosomal RNA
Source: RNAcentral